Molecule: ribosomal RNA, 100 nt
Filed under: Peribacillus frigoritolerans
Lineage: Bacteria; Bacillati; Bacillota; Bacilli; Caryophanales; Bacillaceae
Also listed under: 1 other name
Source: RNAcentral
AAGAGGUCACACCCGUUCCCAUUCCGAACACGGCAGUUAAGCUCUUCAGCGCCGAUGGUAGUUGGGGGUUUCCCCCUGUGAGAGUAGGACGCCGCCAAGC